RNAcentral lists this ribosomal RNA (433 nucleotides) under uncultured bacterium. RNAcentral's name for it is "partial 16S ribosomal RNA". It matches the Rfam family "Bacterial small subunit ribosomal RNA", at positions 29 to 507 of the family's 1533-position model. The record is from RNAcentral.
AACGAACGCUGGCGGCAUGCCUAACACAUGCAAGUCGAACGAGACCUUCGGGUCUAGUGGCGCACGGGUGCGUAACACGUGGGAAUCUGCCCUUUGCUUCGGAAUAACAGUUAGAAAUGACUGCUAAUACCGGAUGAUGUCGAAAGACCAAAGAUUUAUCGGCAAAGGAUGAGCCCGCGUAGGAUUAGGUAGUUGGUGGGGUAAAGGCCUACCAAGCCGACGAUCCUUAGCUGGUCUGAGAGGAUGAUCAGCCACACUGGGACUUAGACACGGCCCAGACUCCUACGGGAGGCAGCAGUGGGGAAUAUUGGACAAUGGGCGAAAGCCUGAUCCAGCAAUGCCGCGUGAGUGAUGAAGGCCUUAGGGUUGUAAAGCUCUUUUACCAGGGAUGAUAAUGACAGUACCUGGAGAAUAAGCUCCGGCUAACUCCGUG